Molecule: long non-coding RNA, 231 nt
Filed under: Arabidopsis lyrata
Lineage: Eukaryota; Viridiplantae; Streptophyta; Magnoliopsida; Brassicales; Brassicaceae
Description: long non-coding RNA (ALYR_LNC003004)
Source: RNAcentral
GAAACUUUUUCCUUAUCGUUAUCUCAGUGGUUUUUUAAGUUUUUAGUUGGACACAAUCAGUAUUCUGAAUCUUUUGUGACUCUUUUGUUUAAGCUUUGAAAUGAUAUUGUUCCUUCGUUGUUGGCCAUAUACCUUUCCUUUGCAAUUUUUAUCGUUGGCCUUUUGCUUUAACUUGAAAUCUGAUUGCGAAAUCAUUGAAGUUUUAAAUAGAGACAAGUCAUUGGAUCAUUC